GGAAAGGAGUGAAUAAUUUUCAAAGAAGUGAAGGAUUUUUUUUUUUAAGUUCAUUUUGCAACUUGGAAUUUCUGCGGCCAUGAGGAAGUCUGUAAGUCCCAGAAAAGGAUGGCUAGAAGGCCUUGCUGUUAUUGGAUGUGCUGCUCUCCAAAAGAGAUGGAUUACGUGUUACAAACAGCCUGGACGCUGAGACUUGGAGCAGAGGAAAGCAGCUCCCUGGCUAUUCCUGGCGAGAAUUAUAAUAACUCACAGAGGAAGAGAUUUUGUCUCACAACAGGGAGUCUCAAGUUAGUCAAAGACUUGGAAUGGUUUUCUGAUAAAUGAAAUGUAAUCAAUUAUGGUGAC
Molecule: long non-coding RNA, 345 nt
Filed under: Rhinopithecus roxellana (golden snub-nosed monkey)
Lineage: Eukaryota; Metazoa; Chordata; Mammalia; Primates; Cercopithecidae
Description: lncRNA (ENSRROG00000046076.1)
Source: RNAcentral